RNAcentral lists this ribosomal RNA (529 nucleotides) under uncultured bacterium. RNAcentral describes it as "bacterial SSU rRNA". It matches the Rfam family "Bacterial small subunit ribosomal RNA", at positions 777 to 1304 of the family's 1533-position model. The record is from RNAcentral.
AAUAGAUACCCUGGUAGUCCACGCCGUAAACGAUGAGUGCUAGGUGUUAGAGGGUUUCCGCCCUUUAGUGCUGCAGCUAACGCAUUAAGCACUCCGCCUGGGGAGUACGGCCGCAAGGCUGAAACCCAAAGGAAUUGACGGGGGCCCGCACAAGCGGUGGAGCAUGUGGUUUAAUUCGAAGCAACGCGAAGAACCUUACCAGGUCUUGACAUCCCGCUGACCGGCCUAGAGAUAGGUCUUUCCCUUCGGGGACAGCGGUGACAGGUGGUGCAUGGUUGUCGUCAGCUCGUGUCGUGAGAUGUUGGGUUAAGUCCCGCAACGAGCGCAACCCUUGAGAUUAGUUGCCAGCAUUCAGUUGGGCACUCUAAUCUGACUGCCGGUGACAAACCGGAGGAAGGUGGGGAUGACGUCAAAUCAUCAUGCCCCUUAUGACCUGGGCUACACACGUGCUACAAUGGGUGGUACAAUGGGUUGCAAACCCGCGAGGGGGAGCCAAUCCCACAAAGCCACUCUCAGUUCGGAUUGCAGG